This 253-nucleotide ribosomal RNA is filed under the name uncultured bacterium. RNAcentral's name for it is "partial 16S ribosomal RNA". It matches the Rfam family "Bacterial small subunit ribosomal RNA", at positions 524 to 776 of the family's 1533-position model. The record is from RNAcentral.
UACGGAGGAUCCAAGCGUUGUCCGGAUUUAUUGGGUUUAAAGGGUGCGUAGGCGGAUUACUAAGUCAGAGGUGAAAGUUUGCAGCUUAACUGUAAAAUUGCCUUUGAAACUGGUAGUCUUGAGUAUAGUUGAGGUGGGCGGAAUGUGUCAUGUAGCGGUGAAAUGCUUAGAUAUGAUACAGAACACCGAUUGCGAAGGCAGCUCACUAAACUGUAACUGACGCUGAGGCACGAAAGCGUGGGGAGCAAACAGG